Long non-coding RNA from Hipposideros armiger (great roundleaf bat), 2124 nucleotides. RefSeq lists it as uncharacterized. The transcript has 3 exons. The record is from RefSeq and is a predicted model, not a curated record. Lineage: Eukaryota; Metazoa; Chordata; Mammalia; Chiroptera; Hipposideridae.
CCAUGGCUACUGCCCUGCCAACCAAUAGGAAAAGGAGGACCUGCAGAGCGCAGGCCCCGCGGGGCUGGAGGGCUUCAGUGUCUGUAGAAGCUUGUCCCGGGCCCCAGGAGAGCAUCCAUAAUUCUACUCAGUGGACUAUAACCAGGGGAAGUUCCCUUAUUUUCUUCUUCCCCCAUUUUAAGGUUUGAAGGGAUGGCUACACCUGGCGGGAGAAAGCUCAAUGGAGAACUCAUGGCUCAGACAUCAGGAAGGGGCUCCAAAGCCCACACGGAGAGGGCCUGUGCUGACAACUGGUGACUCCAAGACGCCUCUAAUGGUGUCUGCAGGAGAGAACUCCGGAACACAGGGACAGAUACCGACAAGCCAGAAAAGAGCAUGAAAAGCGCCCUCAGGCAAAGCACUGAUGGGCUCUCAUCUCACUUCUGGCAAGGUCAAGGACAGCUUCUCACAGCAGCCUCCUGGAGAGGAAUUCCCUCCAGGGCAGAGACAAUCCUCUCAGAGAUAAAUGUGCUCCGGCUCAGGACACGGGGCAGCACCCAGGGAAAAUGCAACGUGGGCCAGCCCCACGGAGCAUUCCUCUUCUUCCUGGGCCUGAGGCAGCCAGAACCUUCCAGAAAUCUAACGUGGCUCAGAUCAGCCUCCGUGCCCUCGCGCACACAAGUUUGCUGCCCGUCACUCCCCGCCUGUCCGCCUGAGACACAGAAGAGAGGGCGGAGCUGUGCUGAGGGGCACAGACAGCCUGAGGCCCUCUCCAUCAGUGGCCGGACUCUCGGGCCUCCCAAGUCACCACGAGCCUCCGGCACAAUCUCCACACGGCUGAGCGUGGCUUGGUGUGUAGGCGACAGGGUCUCUCCUCCAUCCAGUCCUGCCACCCCAUGUGGAGCUACAGGCCAGCAUGUAAUUAUGGCUUCCAAGGCCACACCAUGGCGACACCUUCCUGUGUCAUGCUCCCCUCCAGGAUCCUUGCUGACCCUGAGUCAGGCCUGGGGAGUGGGAGGCCAUUUUUAACUCCUUGAGGGUGAAUGCUGCUCUGAGCCAUGAUGUGUGUGGCAUGGUGGCUGGGGACUCACAGGGCUGCAUGGCCUUGGGAAAGUCACAGCCUGUCUCUGGGCCUCAGUUUCCCCACCUACAACAUGGGUGGGUCAGGCUCCACAGUGUAGGGGGGCCCUUCUGGUGCCGAUGUCUUUGAAGAGGCUGAUGGAAGAUAUGCAACUCACUGUCACACCCUGAAACUGGGCUCCGGGAUGCUAUAUCUAAUCGUGUGCUCAUUUCUGGUAGGAAAACCGUGUCUUCUGGGUCUGAAAUUGCUAAAGGGACACUCUCUGGCCUUGGAAGGCUUUUUGAGCCCUCCAGCACCCUGCACGCUGCCCUCCCCAUUCACAAGCCACCGCCAUGUGGGGGCAUGGCUCAGAUGCCUCCCGGGCUCCCAGACACACACACAGCCAUGGAACUAGGGUGUGUACGUCGGGGAAGGGGGCCACACAAAGAGCACCCCCUAAGUGCCGGGUGCUGGGCCAGACCUUUCAGGAGCGUUGGCAGUUCGUGUGCUCAUAAAACGACUCUGCAAGGCAGACAGUGCAUUCAUUUGACAAAUCUGGAAACUGAGGCUCUGAGAAGUCAUGUGAUUUGCUGGAGGAGCCCCAGCUGGAGAGGGGCAGAGCCUGGAUCCACCUCAUGGGGUUGUUCUGAGGACUGAGGAUAUGCAGGCAAAAUGCCAGCCCAGGGUUAUCAGGACCCAGGUAGACACAAGAGCUUCAUAAAUGUGGCUGCUGCUGCUAUUAUGAUUACCAUAAUCAUCAUAAAAAAAACCAGGGCUCAUUCAACAGCCAUAUCCCUGCAACAAACAUUUCUAGCAACCCGCUUGGCAAAUCAAUUGUCACAAUAAAGCUGGUCCUCAUUCUCCAGGGGACCCCAGUCUUGUGGCCAACCAGGCCCUCAGGCCUGUGGAUGUGACAGGAGGUGUCCAUCCUCUGAGGAUGCCCACCCCCUGCACACACACACACACACACACACACUCACUCACCCUUUUUGGCAGAGGACACGCUGGCUCCUACUGCAUUCUCCCAGAAGCUGGGAUGUGACGGCAAAGCAUUUCACAAAGUUACCGGGACGAUGAACCUGAGC